AAGACUGAGAGGAGGGA
Molecule: microRNA, 17 nt
Filed under: Homo sapiens (human)
Lineage: Eukaryota; Metazoa; Chordata; Mammalia; Primates; Hominidae
Description: hsa-miR-4499
Source: miRBase by way of RNAcentral